Molecule: ribosomal RNA, 1395 nt
Filed under: Nanohyla sp. a VG-2021
Lineage: Eukaryota; Metazoa; Chordata; Amphibia; Anura; Microhylidae
Description: partial large subunit ribosomal RNA
Rfam family: Bacterial large subunit ribosomal RNA
Source: RNAcentral
GCCUAAAACCUAGCUUUAACAAAUCUCUAUAAACCCCCCCCCGAAUUUCUAAAACUAAUAAAACAUUCUUCAUCAUCUAGUAGAGGCGAUCAAAAAAUGUCUUUAAAGCUACAAAAAUAGUACCGCAAGGGAAAGGUGAAAUAGAAAUGAAAUAACUAUUAAGCCACAAAAAGCAGAGUUUUAAUCUCGUACCUUUUGCAUCAUGGUUUAGCCAGUCCAACCAAGCAAAAUGCAUUUUCAGUUUGACCCCCCGAAAUUAAGCGAGCUACUUCAAAACAGUCCAUUGGGGCAAACCCGUCUCUGUUGCAAAAGAGUGGGAAGAUUUUCAAGUAGAGGUGAUAAACCUAACGAGCUUAAAGAUAGCUGGUUAUUCAGGAAAAGGAUUUUAGUCCUACCUUAAGUUUUAUUAUAACUUCAAAUAUCUUCAUAAACUUAAGAGCUAUUCAAAUAAGGUACAGCCUAUUUGAACUAGGGUACAACCUACAAUAACGGUAUCGACAGCUNNNNNNNNNNNNNNNNNNNNNNNNNGCAGCCACCUUUUAAAAAGCUGCGUAGCUUUAUUAUUAAUUCAACUUAAUUCCCCCCUCUUAUCGAAACCCUCAAACACUACUGAAUGACUUCAUACAAUAUGAAAGACCAUAUGCUAAAACUAGUAACAAGAAGAAGAUCUUCUCUUAAAUGUGAGCGUAAGUCAUAAUGAACAAUUCACUGACAUUUAACGUUUAUGUAACAUAAAGUAGCAACUAAUCAAGAAAACCCUACUUAAAAUCACGUCAACCUUACACAAGAGCAUUUCUAGAAAGAUUAAAAGAGUGGGAAGGAACUCGGCAAACAAUUAACCUCGCCUGUUUACCAAAAACAUCGCCUCCUGAUUAAUUAUAGGAGGUCCAGCCUGCCCAGUGACCAAGUUAAACGGCCGCGGUACCCUAACCGUGCAAAGGUAGCGCAAUCACUUGUUCUUUAAAUGAGGACUAGUAUGAACGGCAUCACGAGGGUUAUACUGUCUCCCCCCUCCAAUCAGUGAAACUGAUCUCCCCGUGAAGAAGCGGGGAUAAAUUUAUAAGACGAGAAGACCCCAUGGAGCUUUAAACUCAGUACCACCUGCCCAUUUUUAUGGCCUAUCAACUAUGCAGUUUUGACUACUAGUUUUCGGUUGGGGUGACCACGGAGUAAAAAAAAACCUCCGCGAUGAAUGGACUUAUCCUCCUUAUCCAAGAGCCACAACUCUAAGAAUCAAAUAAUUGACAAAAAUUGAUCCAAGUAAUUUUGAUCAACGAACCAAGUUACCCUGGGGAUAACAGCGCAAUCUACUUCAAGAGCUCCUAUCGACAAGUGGGUUUACGACCUCGAUGUUGGAUCAGGGUAUCCCAGUGGCGCAGCAGCUACUAAAGGUUC